UGACCCCCCGCACCCCCUUGCAGAGCAGCUCUCCCUCCGGCUGGUGGGCAGCAGCAGCCGCUGCAGUGGGCACCUGGAGGUGCUGUACAAUGGCACUUGGGGCCGCGUGUGUGCCAACGGCACCAGCCCCGCCACGGCCACCGCAGCUUGCCGGCAGCUGGGCUGUGGCGACGGGGGGAAGCUGAUGGCUGCCUCUGCCCGGGCCUCGGCCCCUGCCUGGCUGGCCUGGGUGAGCUGCAAAGAGGGGUCCCGCUCGCUCUGGCAGUGCCCCUUGGCACCCUGGCACCUGCAAGCCUGCAGCCCCGGCGGGGACACCAUCAUUGCUUGUGAUAAGGACAUUGAUGGCAGGAGCGGGACGCCCACCCUGUCUCCGGGGAGCCACUGUCCAGAUGGUGCCGAUUGCACAGGUAGCUCUGCCCAUGCCAGCAGCCCCCCGUGCCAGGAUGGCUGGGAUCUGCCUGCUCACACUGCCUGGCCAUGUCCCCACAGAUGACCCCAGCAGCAUCACCCCGACAGCAGUGGCAAGGACUGUGCCAGUGCCAACGAUCCUGUGCAUAGUGCUGGGGACACUGCUGUGCCUGACCCUGGGUGCCCUGGCCGUGCAGACGUGCCGUGCCCGGGCUUGGUGCCAAGGUGGGUCCUGGCUGGUGGAUGCCAGGGAAGAGCUGGUUUGGGGGUCCCGGGCUCCCCCUGCCGUGGGCAGUGGGUGGCCCCAGUGCCACCCACGCUGCCCAUGGCCCCAGGUGAGCACUGCUUAUUCUUUCAGGCCCUGGUAGAGCUGCAGGUGCCAUGGGUGAUGCUGUCUAUGAGGAGCUGGAAUACGCCUUGACGCCGGCGUACCAGGAGAUGCCCAGUCGCUUCGGGUCUCUGUCGGAGGGGUCGGAGACAAAGUUGCCGUAUUACACUGGGGAUGACGUGGAGGAGAGUGACCCCAAGGCAGCCUCAGACUCCCCUGCCCUGCUUGAGCAUGGCGCCCCGGACGGCUAUGAUGAUGCCACGGCCGUGCCAGAAGAGUCUCCCGCUCCCAGCACUGGGGAUGUCUCCAAGGGGGUGGCACGGCCGAGCUGGGGCUGUGUCUCACCCACAGGUGGAAGCAGUCCCCCUCCAAGUCCCCCAGAAGCCACCACAGACCCCCUGGCACAGCCCCCGAGGGACACAGACUAUGACGAUGCUGAUGUCAGCACCCUGGCGACAUCACUGUGAGGACACCCGGGCUGCACCGCGGGGUCCCCUGGGAAAAUGUCUGCAGGGUGGGGGGGUUCUGUCCCCAAGAAAGGGUGGCCCUGGCCACAGAAGUCACCUCUCCCUGCCCAGAACUGCAGUGCAGCAGCAGAACAGCUCCUGUGUCUCUCCCACGACCAGUGCUGCAGGGAUUAUUUUUUAUUAUUAUUAUUUCACUGGGAAUUUAUCUUUUUUUUUCUAUUAAAACCCUCAAAAUUUUCUAUUGAAACUCAAAAUGGCUGGAGACUCAUUUCCAAGACUGGCACCUCGCUCUGAGGUCCAUCAGCCAUCCCUGGGGGAUGCGGGACAAGAGCUGGACCCACAGACACACCCCUGGGCAUGGUGGGGAUGGGGGAAGGAUGGGGGAGAGCGUAGGGGGAUUCCUGGGACUAGCUCCGGGGCUUUUAUUUGUCAUUGGCAAACACCCGCACCACUAUUCCCACUGCCACGUGUGGGAAAAUGGGAGCAAGAAGGACCCAUGGCUUUGCUGUGACCCCCAGCAGUGGCAGGCAGGGUCUCCUGCCCUGUGCCCCCACCAGGCUCAGACCCAGGGAGGCUUCCCCCCAGCUU
Falco tinnunculus (common kestrel) is the source of this 1791-nucleotide long non-coding RNA. The record is from Ensembl. NCBI's taxonomy places the organism in Eukaryota, Metazoa, Chordata, Aves, Falconiformes, Falconidae.